CACUGCGGACGACAUUAUUGAAUUUUUUGAAGGAGUUGUUGCUGGCCUCUCUUGUGGGGGGCAUGUGCACGCUUCGUUCAAUUAUUAUCUUCACACCCCUGUGCACCUUUUGUAGGUUGGUCGGAAGAUCUUCCUAUGUCUAUCUAUAAACUCUUUAAAAAGUAUCUAGAAUGUACUGCGUAUAACGCAUUUUUAUACAACUUUCAGCAACGGAUCUCUUGGCUCUCGCAUCGAUGAAGAACGCAGCGAAAUGCGAUAAGUAAUGUGAAUUGCAGAAUUCAGUGAAUCAUCGAAUCUUUGAACGCACCUUGCGCUCCUUGGUACUCCGAGGAGCAUGCCUGUUUGAGUGUCAUGGAAUUCUCAACUCUUCUGUCUUUGUUGAUGGUUGAGCUUGGAUUUGGAGGUUAUUAAUGCUGGCUCAGUAAAAUGGGUUGGCUCCUCUUGAAUGCAUUAGCUUGAACCUCUGCGGAUCGGCUGUUCGGUGUGAUAGAUUGUCUACGCCGUCGCUGUGAAGCUUUAAAAUGUGGGGAUCUAGCUUCUAAAAAAUGUCUUGUUGACACAAGACUAUCUUUUUGACCUCUGACCUCAAAUCAGGCAGGAUUACCCGCUGAACUUAAGCAUAUCAAAA
RNAcentral lists this ribosomal RNA (628 nucleotides) under Osteina undosa. Its description in RNAcentral is "eukaryotic LSU rRNA". The stretch from base 199 to 352 matches the Rfam family "5.8S ribosomal RNA". Lineage: Eukaryota; Fungi; Basidiomycota; Agaricomycetes; Polyporales; Postiaceae. The record is from RNAcentral.